ACUCGCUCUCUUGCGGUCACUCGACUAGCUCUCUCGCAGUCACUCGACCGUUAUGUCGUCACUCGGUGGUCACUUGCGGUCAAUCGACUCGCGGUCACUCGACUCGCUCUCUUGCAGUCGAGUCACUCGCGGUCACUCGACUCGCUCUCUUGCGGUCACUCGACUCGCUCUCUCACAUUCACUCGAUCUUUCUGUCGUCACUCGACCAUACUGUCGUCACUCGGCGGUUACUCGUGGUCACUCGAAUCGCUCUCUCACGGUCACUCGACUCGCUCUCUCUCAGUCGAGUCACUCGCGGUCACUCAACUCGCUCUCUCACUGUCACUCGA
Molecule: long non-coding RNA, 329 nt
Filed under: Brassica napus (rape)
Lineage: Eukaryota; Viridiplantae; Streptophyta; Magnoliopsida; Brassicales; Brassicaceae
Description: long non-coding RNA (BNAP_LNC016740)
Source: RNAcentral